AUGCCUCGCACAUUUGAAGAAGAAUGUGAUUUUAUCGAUCGCUUGACAGACACAAAGUUUCGAAUUAAGAAAGGUUUUGUGCCGAAUAUGAAUGUGGAGGGACGAUUUUAUGUGAAUAAUAGUCUCGAACAAUUAAUGUUUGACGAGUUAAAGUUCUCAUGUGAUGGACAAGGAAUCGGUGGAUUUUUGCCAGCGGUCAGACAAAUUGCCAACGUGGCAUCCCUACCAGGAAUUGUUGGACAUUCGAUUGGUCUUCCAGAUAUUCACUCUGGUUAUGGUUUUUCCAUUGGAAACAUCGCUGCGUUCGACGUUGGAAAUCCAGAAUCUGUAAUCUCACCCGGAGGCGUCGGUUUUGAUAUCAACUGUGGAGUACGAUUACUUCGAACGAAUCUUUUUGAAGAAAAUUUGGAGUUGGUUCACGUGGUGCAAUUCCAAUGCUUGCAUCAGAUCUUGUUGAAUGUUUAGAAAUGGGAAUGGAUUGGACAUUACGUGAAGGUUAUUCAUGGGCAGAAGAUAAAGAACAUUGUGAAGAAUAUGGACGAAUGUUACAAGCAGAUGCAUCGAAAGUUUCAUUGAGAGCUAAAAAACGUGGACUUCCACAAUUGGGAACUCUUGGAGCAGGAAAUCAUUACGCAGAAGUUCAAGUUGUCGAUGAGAUUUAUGAUAAACAUGCUGCAAGUACAAUGGGAAUUGAUGAAGAAGGGCAAGUUGUUGUAAUGCUUCAUUGUGGAAGUCGAGGACUUGGACAUCAAGUUGCAACUGACUCAUUAGUUGAAAUGGAAAAAGCAAUGGCUAGAGAUGGAAUUGUUGUAAAUGAUAAGCAGCUUGCGUGUGCAAGAAUUAAUUCGGUUGAAGGCAAAAACUACUUUUCCGGAAUGGCGGCUGCUGCAAACUUCGCCUGGGUUAACAGAUCGUGUAUCACAUUCUGUGUUCGUAAUGCAUUCCAAAAGACAUUUGGAAUGUCAGCAGAUGAUAUGGAUAUGCAAGUAAUCUAUGACGUGUCACAUAAUGUAGCAAAAAUGGAAGAGCAUAUGGUUGAUGGUAGACCACGUCAGCUGUGUGUUCAUCGAAAAGGAGCUACACGCGCUUUUCCGGCUCAUCAUCCAUUAAUACCAGUUGAUUAUCAGUUAAUUGGACAACCUGUACUAAUUGGUGGAAGUAUGGGAACUUGUAGUUAUGUUCUAACAGGAACUGAACAAGGAUUAGUGGAAACUUUUGGAACAACAUGUCAUGGAGCUGGACGAGCACUUUCACGUGCCAAAUCACGCCGAACUAUCACUUGGGAUUCGGUAAUUGAUGAUUUGAAAAAGAAGGAGAUCUCAAUUCGCAUUGCAUCGCCUAAAUUGAUUAUGGAAGAAGCACCCGAAUCGUAUAAGAAUGUGACGGACGUUGUAGACACGUGUGAUGCAGCUGGCAUCAGUAAAAAGGCGGUCAAACUGAGACCAAUUGCGGUCAUCAAGGGAUAAAAUCCAUUUAUGUUCUUGUUUUUGUCAUUUUUUCUCCUCAUUUUGUAUAGGCCUUGUUUUUUGUUAAGAAUUAUUUAUUUGUUUCCUUUCUCCUGAUAAAAGUUUUAAUAAAUCAUUUAA
This 1586-nucleotide unclassified non-coding RNA is filed under the name Caenorhabditis elegans. Its description in RNAcentral is "Non-coding transcript of protein-coding gene rtcb-1". The record is from RNAcentral. Lineage: Eukaryota; Metazoa; Nematoda; Chromadorea; Rhabditida; Rhabditidae.